RNAcentral lists this ribosomal RNA (478 nucleotides) under uncultured bacterium. Its description in RNAcentral is "bacterial SSU rRNA". It matches the Rfam family "Bacterial small subunit ribosomal RNA", at positions 29 to 540 of the family's 1533-position model. The record is from RNAcentral.
AACGAACGCUGGCGGCAGGCCUAACACAUGCAAGUCGAGCGAGGACUUCGGUCCUAGCGGCGGACGGGUGAGUAACGCGUGGGAACGUGCCCUUUGGUACGGAAUAGCCCCGGGAAACCGGGAGUAAUACCGUAUGGUGUCUUCGGACUAAAGAUUUAUCGCCAAAGGAUCGGCCCGCGUUGGAUUAGGUAGUUGGUGGGGUAAUGGCCUACCAAGCCGACGAUCCAUAGCUGGUUUGAGAGGAUGAUCAGCCACACUGGGACUGAGACACGGCCCAGACUCCUACGGGAGGCAGCAGUGGGGGAAUCUUAGACAAUGGGGGCGAACCCUCGAUCUAGCCAUGCCGCGUGAGUGAUGAAGGCCCUACGGGUUGGUAAAGACUCUUUCUAGCUGGGAAGGAUAAUAGACGGUACCGAAGCAGAAGAAGACCCCGGGCCUAACUCCGUCGCCACGCAGCCGCGGUAAGUAGUGACUACUG